This 1073-nucleotide long non-coding RNA is filed under the name Homo sapiens (human). Its description in RNAcentral is "long non-coding RNA NONHSAT182142.1". Lineage: Eukaryota; Metazoa; Chordata; Mammalia; Primates; Hominidae. The record is from RNAcentral.
UCUCUCUCUGAGGCUGUUAAAUCAACCUUGGCAUCAGCUAUGGACAUUCAGGUGCCCUACAACAUGGAGAGGGUGUUCUGGCUGCUCUCUGGCUCUGACAGCCAGGUGACAAGAGCCCUCAUGGAGCAGUUUGAAAGGACCCAAAGUGUGAAUCUGCCCAAGGAACUGCACAGCAAGUGGGAGAGACAGGACUACGAAAAAAUGGCUGUAAUGGAGUGUGAUGGGUGCUGUGUGGAACUGUGCCUUGGAAACUGUGGGCCCAGAAGAGGGAGCGUGACAGAUAUCCCAGGGACAGCCAUGGUCAGAGGUGGUGGCUGAGCUGGCCUCCAACCAGGAGGAGCAGUUUCACUCCCCGGUGCUGCCUCGCCCCUGCCUCUGCAGCCAAGUUCCCGGAAGCUGUCCUGGCUGCUGGCCUGACCCCUGAGACUCCCGCGGAGAUCGUAGCCCUGGAGCACAAGGAGACACGCUGCACCCUGAUGCGGAGAGGUGACAACUGGAUGCUGAUGCUUCGGGACACCAUUGAGGACCUUAGCCGACAGUGGAGGAGUCAUGCCCUCAACACCUCCCAGUAGCCUGGCUGGAGGUGGCUUUCUUUAGGCUUCAGAUCCCAGGAAGAUGCACCUUCUGAGCUGCCUUGUGCACCCUCCCCAUUAAGCGUAGGUUAGGAGGUUUCCGGGAGGCUGCUCAGCUGGAUCUGGAGCCAGCUGGCUUUGCUCCGUUCCCUGGCUAGUCUGUGCCUGGUCACCAGGGAGGCUGAGUGAGGGGCUGUGAACAGUUGCCGGAAGCACCCCCUCCCUCCCCGGCCCGUGCAGCAGUGUCUGAGCUGUAGUGAAAGUUUCAGGGCCUGCAAAAGAAGAGGCUUGGGCACAGGACUGACCAUGGCUCCAGGGGUUUAGGACCCCAGACCUGUGAAGGUGGGAGCAGCUCACCACCUUCACGCAGGCUUUGUAUGUUCUCUGAGCCUUAGUUGAUUUUGGCCCCCAAACCAAAUCCAAAGGUUCUGGCCCACCUUGUCAGAGGCUUCCACCCUGCUCACAUGUUGGGAAUCCCUGGAAUAAAAUGCUUGUUCAGUG